AGUGUAGUUCCUUAGUCACAGCCACGAUCACGUGACCCUCUGUAUAUAAACACUGGCUGGCUACAGCUGUUUACUCGCUGUUGAACUCGUCUGGUAAAAUCUGCUGCAUCCCAUCUCCAAAUGGCGACAGACAUGGAAAGAUUUGUUUUUUUCGAGGAAACAUUUUACGACCAGUAUGACUAUUACAAUCUGCUCGAGUUCUCGUGCCAUGCGUGUGGCAAAGGGAGAACCAAGAGAGAAAUCGAGCUGAACACAAACCGCCAUUGCCCCGCUGGACACGAGAGGAAGAUUGCAGAAAAAUUUCAUAACACCGAGCUGAAACGCAAGAGAACCAAGAGCUCCUCUUCUUGAUGGAUUUCUUCGACGUUUAUAGAUCCGGACACGAAGUUGGAUUCCUGAUGUUGACGAUGGCCAUGGUUCUCUGCCUUCCCUGUUCCUGACCCAGUGAAUGGAGCGCUGUGACUUCGGUAACAUGCCCAGUAAUCAGUCACACGAGACAGCUCUCCAUACUCUGUAGCAAGAACCUGCUUGUCUCUCGCUGGUGCAAAAAUAGUUUGUGUUGAGCAAUAUAGGUCAGUGGUGUGUGCUUGAUAAAUAUAUGUGUAGUCAUGUCUGUGGGUGCAGGAGAUAUGAUACAGUAUUUGGACUCAAUAAAAAUGGGUGAUGAUUCAA
Molecule: long non-coding RNA, 672 nt
Organism: Notothenia coriiceps (black rockcod)
Lineage: Eukaryota; Metazoa; Chordata; Actinopteri; Perciformes; Nototheniidae
Exons: 2
Source: RefSeq, a predicted model, not a curated record